AGCAAGAACCCCGAUCCUUCACCUACGGGUUGAUGAUUUGCUUCAGAUCACGGAAGCUUGGGUUGAUGGAGUGCUUGUCUUUAGUUUUUGUUUUGACUUUGUGAAACUUGCUACCUAUGAUGAAACUGUGUAAUAUUGAUGAAACUAUGUAUAUGUAUGGAUGAAACUUGCUACUAUUGGUAACAUGUGUUGGAUAUAUUUGCGUUCAUGACUA
Molecule: non-coding RNA, 214 nt
Organism: Aegilops tauschii subsp. strangulata
Lineage: Eukaryota; Viridiplantae; Streptophyta; Magnoliopsida; Poales; Poaceae
Source: RefSeq, a predicted model, not a curated record